GCUAAACGCGAAGAACCUUACCAAGGCUUGACAUGCAUCGCUAAGCACGUGAAAGCGUGUGACCCUUCGGGGGACGUUCCACAGGUGCUGCAUGGCCGGUCGUCAGCUCGUGUCGUGAGAUGUUGGGUUAAGUCCCGCAACGAGCGCAACCCUUGUGAACAGUUGCCAGCGCGUCAUGGCGGGAACUCUGUUCAGACUGCCCACGAUCAACUGGGAGGAAGGUGGGGACGACGUCAGGUCAGUAUGGCCCUUACGCCUUGGGCUGCACACGUACUACAAUGCCCAGCACAAUGAGAACCGAUGCCGCGAGGUGGAGGAAAUCUGCAAAACUGGGCUCAGUUCGGAUUGGAGGCUGCAACUCGCCUCCAUGAAGUUGGAAUCGCUAGUAAUGGGGCAUCAUCUACGGCCCCGUGAAUACGUUCCCGGGUCUUGUACACACCG
This 441-nucleotide ribosomal RNA is filed under the name uncultured bacterium. RNAcentral's name for it is "bacterial SSU rRNA". It matches the Rfam family "Bacterial small subunit ribosomal RNA", at positions 954 to 1392 of the family's 1533-position model. The record is from RNAcentral.